Molecule: ribosomal RNA, 497 nt
Filed under: uncultured bacterium
Lineage: Bacteria
Description: partial 16S ribosomal RNA
Rfam family: Bacterial small subunit ribosomal RNA
Source: RNAcentral
GAUGAACGCUGGCGGCGUGCCUAAUACAUGCAAGUCGAGCGAACGGACGAGAAGCUUGCUUCUCUGAUGUUAGCGGCGGACGGGUGAGUAAAACGUGGAUAACCUACCUAUAAGACUGGGAUAACUUCGGGAAACCGGAGCUAAUACCGGAUAAUAUUUUGAACCGCAUGGUUCAAAAGUGAAAGACGGUCUUGCUGUCACUUAUAGAUGGAUCCGCUCUGCAUUAGCUAGUUGGUAAGGUAACGGCUUACCAAGGCAACGAUGCAUAGCCGACCUGUGAGGAUGAUACACCACAUCGUAACUGAGACACGGUCGAGAAUGCUGCGGGAGGAAGCAGUAGGGAGUCUUCAGCACUGGGCGAAAGCAUGACGGAGCAACGCCGCGUGAGUGAUGAAGGUCUUCGGAUCGUAAGACUCUGUUAUUAGGGAAGAACAUAUGUGUAAGUAACUGUGCACAGCUUGACGUUACCUAAUCAGAAAGCCACGGCUAACUACGUG